GGUAGGAUGUUUAAAGUGGUGCAAUGCUGGCUACAUUACGGCUCAAGUAUACUCUAAUCAAUUGCUAGAUGUACAUAGAGACAUAGGUUAAGUAAAUGGAUGACCUAUUGAGUUGGAGACAUUGAUUAUGUUUGUUCCUCGAAUUUGCCAAAAAAAAAAAAUUGCAAAAAAAUUAAUGUUGUUCGAAUGGAAUUGUUAUAGUAGUUGAAAAGAAAUGGCCGAAUUGAAAAUGGGAGGAGAGGCUUGAUCUGGGCCAAACUGGUGUGUGGUAAAAAGUGAUAAAGUUUUUUUUUUUUUUUUUUUUUUUUUUUUUUUUUUUUGUGAAAGUUAAAAAGUGUUAAAGUUAAACCUACUAGGAAGGAGGUCAAAUCUCUAAUGGGUACGAUAUUCCUUUCGAACGGUUCAGAUUUCAUAUCACGUAGAGUAUUUCCUUUUUCAUCUCGUCCUCCGCACCGUUGGAUCCAUCUUAUCAUUUUUUCUUCUUCUAGAAAUUACGCAAACACACCCGGCUCCGUGUCAGAGCGUGUAGUGUGUGUAGAGAUUUAAAGUAGUAUAUGUAACCCUAAUUGGAUGUGUAAAGAGCACUUCUUGUAUUCCUCUUCAGUGGUGUACGGCGGUAUUUACUGAAUUUUGGCCUCCUGGUUUGAUCCGUUUCAUUUGUUUGUACAGAGAAACAACAGUUGAGAGCAGGAUUUGCAGGGAGUGUUUUUAUGCGGUGUUUGAGGAGGAAAUCCAUAGGGUAAUUGUUGACAACCAGCUAUUCAAGCCUGGGGAACGCGUUGCUAUGGGGGCUUCUGGGUUGUGAUUGCCCAAACACGAGUUAUUUGGAGAUUAUAUUAAAAUUUCCUUCCGUUAAAUUCAACCACAAAGAAGCUUGUUAGCUUAACUUAUAAAUAGUUGAGGUUUGUAGAAUGAAUGUUUGGUUGAUUGUCAUAUAGUACCAAUCUAAUAGAUGUUUUACUUAUCA
This is a long non-coding RNA of Cornus florida, 967 nucleotides long. RefSeq lists it as uncharacterized. The record is from RefSeq and is a predicted model, not a curated record. Lineage: Eukaryota; Viridiplantae; Streptophyta; Magnoliopsida; Cornales; Cornaceae. The transcript is spliced from 2 exons.